GGGUACAUUGCCGGUUCCAUAUGAACAAACAUAAAAACACCGAAACCCCAUAUGGCCAUUAUGCCGAUCCUAGCCUAGCUUGGCGAGGACAUCGCCAAGAGCAGAUUUGGUCAACGUGUAGUACUUCUCCGCCUCUUCGGGGCUCUUGAUCUUGGCUGCAUGGUCAAGCCCGUCAAUGGUGGCGAAGAGCUUGCCGGUGAGGUCCUUGAGGCCCUUCUUCUCGUCCUUGGGCUUGGAGUUGAUGACGGUUUUGAGGUCGUAGCGCAGGUAGGAGGCCCUGAGGCGGAGGUCGUCCCUGACGAACGGCCACUGCUUCUUCUCGAUGAGCGGCUUGAGGUUGAUGAUGUCCUGGGCCGACUCCUUCGCCCUCGCCGCCGCCUCCGCCGGCGGCAGCGGCUGCAGGUAGAACCUUUCCCUCAGCGGCAGGUCCGUGUCCCUCGCCUGGUCCGAGUUCAGCGUCCCAGGGAGUCCACCGGAGGGCGGUGGCGGGGGGCCGAGCUUGAUGGGCUUGGCGGCCUCGGCGAGCGCCGCCUGCGCGAGGGCGCCGCCGGCGAUCCCGGUGGCGACGAGGCCGAGCACGGCGCGGCGGCCGGUCUGGACGUCGGCGGCGGCGGCGUCGGCCCUGACGACGGCGAGCCUGGACCUGCCGCCGGCGCGCCUGGGCCCGGCCGGCAGCUGCACGCCCUGCGACAGCCCGGUCAUGGACGCCAUUGCCUGUGCCAUCUCUCAACCUCAGCUCAGACCUCACCUGACUAUAAGCUGAGAAUUUC
Molecule: unclassified non-coding RNA, 770 nt
Filed under: Hevea brasiliensis (rubber tree)
Lineage: Eukaryota; Viridiplantae; Streptophyta; Magnoliopsida; Malpighiales; Euphorbiaceae
Source: RNAcentral